This 341-nucleotide ribosomal RNA is filed under the name Drosophila yakuba. RNAcentral describes it as "28S ribosomal RNA, D2 domain". Lineage: Eukaryota; Metazoa; Arthropoda; Insecta; Diptera; Drosophilidae. The record is from RNAcentral.
CCCGAAGUAUCCUGAAUCUUUCGCAUUGUUAAUCAUACAAGUGCAUAUAAUAAACAUAAAAAUCAAUGAUAAUUAUGCCAUUAUAUAAUUCCGAAAAAUUAACGCACUGUAAUCAUAUAAAUCUAUCAGCACUUUAUCAAAUUAAUAACAUUUAUUCUGUUUUAAAAUGCAAGCACUUUAAUUUGAAUAAACUAUAAGUUAUAUUUUAUGAUAAAUUUGGGAUAUGCUAAUAGAUUACAAUGUCCUUAUAUGGAAAAAAUGCACACUAUCCUUAUAAUAUUAUUUAAAUAUUACAAUUUUAAUGAUGAAUUUUCCAUAACGGAUAUUCAGGUUCAUCGGGC